CUGCCCUUGUGCAAGGGGCACAAAACACAGGUUAGAGGUGUUUUUGUUUUAUGGAUCUCUUAGGCACAGUAAGUAAAUCUUAAAGCAUAACUUUAGCUCUUACACUCUCCCAUCCAUUGGCUGAAUAACUUUACCAGGCCUCUGAGGACUGAAGGGAUUUUAAGCAAAUGAAAGGCUUUACCCACCGUGUUCCCUGAGGUGAGGACUCUGAAGACUAAUGAUGCUAUCAGAGAGGCUUUGGCAAAAAUCCUUCAAUCUGAACCUAUUGGGUACAAGCGGCAAGAAUCCCUCAAGGGCUGGCCACUUGACUUUUCUGCUAUGAUGGAUUGUAUCCUGGAACUGAAAGUUAAAAUGGACUCUCUCACUGGGGUCAGAAGAUUGUUUCAGUUUCCUGAGUAAACUGCUUAUGGAAGAGUCUCAGUGUUGCGUCUUCCUUGCUGGUCGAGGCGGUCUCGACAAGUGGUGGCCCGUACAGGGAAUUCUUCCUCUGAAGAGACUCAGAACCUUCUGCAGCCAGGGCAGUGCACUGGUAAGUCCCAGGUAAGAGGGAUAAAAUUAAGGGCCCCGUGAAGAGGGCAGAAAAUCUACAGACCGAGACUAGAGGGUGAUAAAGUUUUCCUUUUUCCGUAGAUAGAGAGAAAAGGGGGAAAAAAUUUUGUGCUGUGCUAAAUAUGGGCGCGUCGAUCUCGCACCCAAUUUUUGUGGCCCUAAAUGAGUUGCUUCGCUUGGAGGGCUUAAAACCAAAACGAAG
This 751-nucleotide long non-coding RNA is filed under the name Cricetulus griseus (Chinese hamster). Its description in RNAcentral is "lncRNA (ENSCGRG00015033226.1)". The record is from RNAcentral. Lineage: Eukaryota; Metazoa; Chordata; Mammalia; Rodentia; Cricetidae.